Mugil cephalus (flathead mullet) is the source of this 2194-nucleotide long non-coding RNA. RefSeq lists it as uncharacterized. The transcript is spliced from 2 exons. The record is from RefSeq and is a predicted model, not a curated record. NCBI's taxonomy places the organism in Eukaryota, Metazoa, Chordata, Actinopteri, Mugiliformes, Mugilidae.
UCUUUUUUUUUUUUUUUAGCUCCAGCGCAGUUUGCAACCUUCGAUUCCUGGAUUGGGUCUCCUGGCGGCGGCUCUGGCCUUUCGCAGCGAGCGUCGGUGCAUCGCGCGGCUCGUCUCCAGCCCGGAUGAUUUAGCCCCGGGUUUGUGAGGUUGAAAUCUCAUGGCCCCGCGACGCGGAGCUUAACUUCCAUAAUUGCGCUUCGCGGGGUAUUUGUGAAUUUUAUGAGCUGAACUUGUGACCCCGGACGCAUCGUCGCGGGACAGUUUCUUUUUCCUUUUUCCCUCCAUCCCCCCCUGUACAUGAUAAACAUCUGCGAACCUCCCCAGAGCUGACGACGAUGACAACUUACAGCAAAUUAUUUAAAAAAAAAAAAAAAAAAGAAGAAGAAAGAAAAAAAAACUGCUGAAAUUUCCCCCUUUCCUCUGUAGCUCCCUGGUGCCUUCCCUGUCCUCUUAUCCCACUCUUCUUCUUCUUCUUCCCUCCCAUGUGUUUCUGUAGUCUUUGGAGUCUUCAGAAGGGGGUGAGACAGGAGGAGGAGGAGGAGGAGGAGGUACAGAUCCUGCUGCACAUCUGAGGUUUAUUUGGCCUUCCCCCUGGGGAGUGCGGUGAAGCUCUGCAUCUCAAGGAAAUUGCCAACACUUUCUGGUCAGCUUGACACACUGGAACACACACUCAGGCCUCCAGCUGGACACUGGAACAAAAAUGAUGCACAUCUCACCUCUCCGACCCCGACUCCUGCUCCUGCUCCCGCUCCCACCCCUCCCUCUCCCCUUCAUAUCGAUCCCCAACCUGGCGGAGUUUAACAUCUGGGGGUCUGAAACACGGUCGGAGGCAGGUGGCUCCCCCCUCCCCACCCGCCCCCCGUGACCCGGACGCACUUAUCCCCCGAUGCCUGGUGACCUCGAACAGGAAGUGACUUCCCGGGCCAAGUGACCUCCCCUGGUGGCCCUUCCUGUCCCCACGUUGCCUCGCAGGAAGGAAGGAUGCGGUCUGUUGUCCUCAGGCGCCGCUCUCGCGCUCUCCCUCGCCCUCCCUCGCCCUCCCUCGCUCUCCCCUCCUCAGCCCGACUAGAGAAAAACCAGAUUAUUGAUUCCAGGCUUGUCUCUCCUCCCCGCGCUCCCUCUGCCCCCCUUCUUCUUCUUCUUCUUCUUUUUUUUAUUUUCCCCCUUCUACUUCUUUUUGUGCCUCGUCCCUUUUCUCAUCGACUUCUCCCAUGUCUCAGCGCCCACUUUAUCUUUAUUUCGACGUCAUUCCUUUCGUCCUUUGUCAUCGUCUUCCGUGUCCCUUUGAAAUGCGAGCGAACACAACGGACACUGGCAAACCGCAGCGUCUCCCACCCCCCCGCCUUCUCCCAAGUGCCAUUCGGCUGCACUCAUGGGGCUCACAAGUCCGCAGAUUUACGGCCUCCGCUCGACUCCGUUUUUAUUCCUGACACUGUUUUGUUUACCCGUGUUGCCAUUAAUUUAUCGGCCAUACAUUUACAUUAAAUGUGACAGCCGUUUCAUGUGGCGCAGAAAAUCCCAAGGUCAGGCUUCUGGGUUUAGUCUGCUCUCAAAUGAUGCACAUGCGCCGCGCGAAUUAUAGGACACCAUUUGGUCGCGUUUAAGAGGAGAAGGGGACUUCCACGCAGACAGGGAGAGAGGGAUCUCGCUCGACAACAUCAAACGCUGUUUUUUGUUGUUGUUGGCCGUGGAUGAAGAACGGUGACUGGAAUCAAAAAAAAAAAAAAAAAAGAAAAAAGAAAAAGUUGAGAAGGUCAAAAACAACCAACGCGGCCACCGGUUAGCGUUAAAUCGGCCGCGGCCCCGUCAGGUUUUCCGUGUCUGCUGAUCCAUAUUUUCGCGUCUUCUUCUUCCGUGCAAGUGUCACGAUGAAGAUGACAAUGAUGAAGGCAGAACACGGCGUUUAGAGGCUCUGAUCUAAUCCUAACAUCAUGGUGUAAAUUAGCAUUUAUUUCUAAUAGCCGUGUCCGCACAAAACUAUUUCUGCCACUUGUCUUUACGUAUGAUGCACAUUUCACUUAAUAAAACUAAAGUUAAGUUAGAAUCUAAAUGUUUCAAGUUGAAACGCUGAACGGUAUGUAAUAUUUUGCAUGAAUAUUUAAUCCAAAGUUGUUACGUCAGGCUGUCAUUUAAAUGUGCUGCGUGCCUGUCGUGUUUUGGGGUGUUUAAAUAAAGAUAAAUAUUUAAGUUA